Tetranychus urticae (two-spotted spider mite) is the source of this 1403-nucleotide long non-coding RNA. RefSeq lists it as uncharacterized. Lineage: Eukaryota; Metazoa; Arthropoda; Arachnida; Trombidiformes; Tetranychidae. The record is from RefSeq and is a predicted model, not a curated record.
GUAAUUUGGAUUCUCAACACACUCUUUUGUCGUCCAUUUUGUGUAAAUUGGUUUUAUCCAUAUUUUGAUAUUUUCAAAUACUGUCAACAUUAACAAUUGUAAUUAAAUUUAGUGAUCCAUGGAAAAGUUAAUUAAUCUCAAGGUUAAUUUGUUGAAUUGUUACACUAUUAAAUGAAAAAAAAGAUGUCAACCUAAAGGAUACAAUUUGUAGCUUGUUGUUGAAUGGUUACAUGUUUUUAAGUGUUGUCUUGUAUACAAUAAUAAUGACGAUUGUGGAUACCAUUAGUCCAUACAAAUGAUCAUCAAUGGUGUUGCAUAUUUAUAUCCUUUGUUUAACAGUAAGGUUUUAAUGCUGAACUCUAUCGAUUCAACUCUUUCAAUAUCCUCACCAUGAAUCUGAACAGAAUCAUCUGAGUUUUCUCUUUCGUUCUCCCUUUCUUUCUGGUUCCAAGAUGGGCCUACAAUAUUAUGACGUCAGUAACCAAGGAAAAGUGUUCGAGAUUAUCGUCUAGGUCAUGAAUUGAAUUCUAGGUCAUCGAUCCAAUACCAUCUCAUGAAACCUGGAUUGUUCGUUUUGUUUUUAUCAUCACCAUGAAUUAGUGUUGGACAAUUAACAGCUAAGGUUGGACAUGAAAUGGCAAUCCUAUCCAACAAUGAAUUUAAAAAUCUUCCGGUAAUACAUUUUGAUUCCAAUUAUCGACUGAAAAUUGGCUACAAAUUAUAACAAUUUAAGGUGUGAUGAUAACUUAAAGCGAUAAUCAUGAUAUUAACAUAAUAAUGGAAACAUCGAUAAUCCAGUCUAUUACAUACAAUUAUCUCAAUCAAAGGAUAUAAAAGAAUCAUCAACCAAUAUUAAUUAUUCAUAACAUUUCUACCUCUCUACUUUCAACGAUAAUUAAAGGUUAAUCAAUGUCCACAAGCAUAAAUCCAUUUUUUGCUCUUUUUCCACCAUUAGUCUGAAUUGAAAUUAAUUAAAUCAAUUUCAGAUUAGGACAGUUUUUUCAUUAAUCUUUCAUCACGAUAAAUCAUGGUUCCGUUAUUGGUAUAAAUUGAAAGUGUAAGGGUAACAUUAGAUUGAAGUAUAUGAGGUUAACCAUUGAAGCAAUGUUGUCAAUACGCUUUGCUUGGAUAUAUCUGGUCAACAAUUCGUGAUCAAUUGAUCAUAAACUGAUGGAUUAAUUGUGAUUUGCAUGACCAAUAGUCUUGUAAAUUGUUGAUUAAACCAUUAACGAGAUCACAACAAUUGUUGAAACCUUUUCUCAACUAAUGUCUUUAUGAACAAAUGUAAUCCAUUAUAAUGUAAAUCUAUCAAAUUUGCUUUACUAAUGUUGGUCAGUUUACGCUUUUUAUAUUCAUUUAUGUUCACUUUUCAGAGCCAUUAAAUGUCGCUUUAUUACCUUCUA